ACACUACAUAUUUAUUGAAAAUGCUGCUAUAACACUGUGACACCCGCAAUCCAACUUAUCUGAGUUUCUAUUUUAGCUAAUUUUUGCAGGCGCUGUGUGUAAAUAGUUUUUCGCAGUGCCA
Molecule: small nuclear RNA, 121 nt
Filed under: Ateline gammaherpesvirus 3
Lineage: Duplodnaviria; Heunggongvirae; Peploviricota; Herviviricetes; Herpesvirales; Orthoherpesviridae
Description: Ateline herpesvirus 3 Herpesvirus saimiri U RNA1/RNA2
Rfam family: Herpesvirus saimiri U RNA1/RNA2
Source: Rfam by way of RNAcentral